AGUGAACGCUGGCGGUAGGCCUAACACAUGCAAGUCGAACGGCAGCACAGUAAGGGCUUGCUCUUACGGGUGGCGAGUGGCGGACGGGUGAGGAAUACAUCGGAAUCUACUUUUUCGUGGGGGAUAACGUAGGGAAACUUACGCUAAUACCGCAUACGACCUACGGGUGAAAGCAGGGGAUCUUCGGACCUUGCGCGAUUGAAUGAGCCGAUGUCGGAUUAGCUAGUUGGCGGGGUAAAGGCCCACCAAGGCGACGAUCCGUAGCUGGUCUGAGAGGAUGAUCAGCCACACUGGAACUGAGACACGGUCCAGACUCCUACGGGGGGCAGCAGUGGGGAAUAUUGGACAAUGGGCGCAAGCCUGAUCCAGCCAUACCGCGUGGGUGAAGAAGGCCUUCGGGUUGUAAAGCCCUUUUGUUGGGAAAGAAAAGCAGCAGGUUAAUACCCCGCUGUUCUGACGGUACCCAAAGAAUAAGCACCGGCUAACUUCGUG
Molecule: ribosomal RNA, 492 nt
Filed under: uncultured bacterium
Lineage: Bacteria
Description: partial 16S ribosomal RNA
Rfam family: Bacterial small subunit ribosomal RNA
Source: RNAcentral